AGUAAACGCUGGCGGUAGGCCUAACACAUGCAAGUCGAACGGCAGCACAGUAAGAGCUUGCUCUUACGGGUGGCGAGUGGCGGACGGGUGAGGAAUACAUCGGAAUCUACUUUUUCGUGGGGGAUAACGUAGGGAAACUUACGCUAAUACCGCAUACGACCUACGGGUGAAAGCAGGGGAUCUUCGCACCUUGCGCGAUUGAAUGAGCCGAUGUCGGAUUAGCUAGUUGGCGGGGUAAAGGCCCACCAAGGCGACGAUCCGUAGCUGGUCUGAGAGGAUGAUCAGCCACACUGGAACUGAGACACCGUCCAGACUCCUACGGGAGGCAGCAGUGGGGAAUAUUGGACAAUGGGCGCAAGCCUGAUCCAGCCAUACCGCGUGGGUGAAGAAGGCCUUCGGGUUGUAAAGCCCUUUUGUUGGGAAAGAAAAGCAGCAGGUUAAUACCCCGCUGUUCUGACGGUACCCAAAGAAUAAGCACCGGCUAACUUCGUG
This 492-nucleotide ribosomal RNA is filed under the name uncultured bacterium. RNAcentral's name for it is "partial 16S ribosomal RNA". It matches the Rfam family "Bacterial small subunit ribosomal RNA", at positions 29 to 507 of the family's 1533-position model. The record is from RNAcentral.